Molecule: ribosomal RNA, 253 nt
Filed under: uncultured bacterium
Lineage: Bacteria
Description: partial 16S ribosomal RNA
Rfam family: Bacterial small subunit ribosomal RNA
Source: RNAcentral
UACAGAGGUCUCAAGCGUUGUUCGGAUUCAUUGGGCGUAAAGGGUGUGUAGGUGGCGCGCUAAGUCGGGUGUGAAAUUUCGGAGCUUAACUCCGAAACUGCAUUUGAUACUGGCGUGCUUGAGGACUGGAGAGGAGACUGGAAUUCAUGGUGUAGCAGUGAAAUGCGUAGAGAUCAUGAGGAAGACCAGUGGCGAAGGCGGGUCUCUGGACAGUUCCUGACACUGAGACACGAAGGCCAGGGGAGCAAACGGG